Molecule: ribosomal RNA, 497 nt
Filed under: uncultured bacterium
Lineage: Bacteria
Description: partial 16S ribosomal RNA
Rfam family: Bacterial small subunit ribosomal RNA
Source: RNAcentral
GAUGAACGCUGGCGGCGUGCCUAAUACAUGCAAGUCGAGCGAACAGACGAGGAGCUUGCUCCUCUGACGUUAGCGGCGGACGGGUGAGUAACACGUGGAUAACCUACCUAUAAGACUGGGAUAACUUCGGGAAACCGGAGCUAAUACCGGAUAAUAUAUUGAACCGCAUGGUUCAAUAGUGAAAGACGGUUUUGCUGUCACUUAUAGAUGGAUCCGCGCCGCAUUAGCUAGUUGGUAAGGUAACGGCUUACCAAGGCAACGAUGCGUAGCCGACCUGAGAGGGUGAUAGGCCACACUGGAACGGAGCCACCGCCCAGACUCCUACGGGAGGGAGCAGUAGGGAAUCGUCCGCAGUGGGCGAAAGCCUGACGGAGCAACGCCGCGUGAGUGAGGAAGGGCUUCGGAUCGUAAAACUCUGUUAUUAGGGAAGAACAAAUGUGUAAGUAACUAUGCACGUCUUGACGGUACCUAAUCAGAAAGCCACGGCUAACUACGUG